RNAcentral lists this small nucleolar RNA (107 nucleotides) under Thalictrum thalictroides. RNAcentral describes it as "Plant small nucleolar RNA R71". It matches the Rfam family "Plant small nucleolar RNA R71". From Rfam's summary of the family: R71 is a member of the C/D box family of snoRNAs containing the C (UGAUGA) and D (CUGA) box motifs. Multiple nearly identical copies of this snoRNA have been identified in Arabidopsis, and it is thought to function as a 2'-O-ribose methylation guide for 18S ribosomal RNA. Lineage: Eukaryota; Viridiplantae; Streptophyta; Magnoliopsida; Ranunculales; Ranunculaceae. The record is from Rfam by way of RNAcentral.
AUUUGAUGAUAUGGACAUUGUAUUUGUAACUCUUCAAAUCUUUCCCAAGCUUCAAAGAAUUCUUCCGUAUGUUUUUGGCUAGAAGUUUGGAUCUUGUUUCUUAACUC